RNAcentral lists this long non-coding RNA (2926 nucleotides) under Citrus sinensis (sweet orange). RNAcentral's name for it is "long non-coding RNA (CSIN_LNC005028)". The record is from RNAcentral. Lineage: Eukaryota; Viridiplantae; Streptophyta; Magnoliopsida; Sapindales; Rutaceae.
UUUAAUUUUGACAAGAGCUCUAAACUAUUUACUUAAAGUGAAUGUAACAUAAAUUAAGUGGGCUGAUAGUCAUGACCAUAAUAGAGAAAUUAUAAAACUAUAUGGGUUGUAACAAAAUUAAAUUAAAUUAUUGAGGCCAAAACAUAAAUAAACAUAUAGUUUGGUAAAUUUUCAAGCAGCCCUUGUUUUCCUUAAUAUCUUUCCAGCAUCGGCCACAAGCCUAGACACAUAGCUCCGCCCCUUACACAACACUCUUGUGUAUAAUUGAGUAAGCCAUAACAGUAAUAUCUAUAAAAUCUACGAACAAAAGUAUGCAUAGAAAUUGAUAAAAUUUUCAUUUUAACCCCUAAUUUGCCUGAAAUCUUUUCCAAUCUGACCUCAAGGCCCUACACAUAAUUUUGCCCCUACAUAUUACUCUAUGCGUAUGUGUCAAUUAAUUCAAUUAGUAAAAUCUAUAGGCUGGAUUGCUGGAACAUAUUAUCUGGCAACGUAAAUUAAAAAGAAAAUAAAAAAUAAAACAAAUAACACUUUGUGAUUUUGAUUUAUACCUUCGAGUUUGUUAUAGGGAAGACGUAACUCUUUAAGCUUGGUCAAAUUGCCGAUUUCUUUUGGUAUGGUACCCGAAAACCAAUUAUGACUGAGAACGAGUGUUUGCAGCGAAGAAAGGUUUCCAAGAUAGGAAGGGAUGGUGCCUGUAAGGCCAAGAUCAGGAAUGGUCAAGGAUGUGACUCUAUUGCCAUAGACAUCACAAGUGAUGCCCAUCCAGCUACAAACGGAAGUAUUUGAGGUCCAAUUUUGAGCCAAAAUAUUGCGGGGAUUAUCAUUGAUUAUAUGAGCUUUUACGGAAAGAAAUUAUAUGAGCUUUUACGGGGAUUAUCAUUGAUUAUAUGAGCUUUUACGGAAAGAAGAGCAUCUUGGUCUCUGGAUAUGUUUGCUGCAGCUGCCACAAUAACUGAGAAAAGAAUCAAAUAAGGGACAAAGAGAUCUGGAUCGCUUCUCCCCAUGUUAACUUUCCAAAGGACAAGCAACUGCUAAUUAAGUGCAAAUAAUGAUAUCCAAUAAUUUAUAACCAGCAGUUAAGUGGUAAUGCAUCUUUUUCAGUUUACAUUACCAGAGACCAAGGCUAGGACCAAGACUAAGUCAUCAGUUUUAAUAAAUGAUCAUCUUGUUUAGUCUAUUCCACCUCCGCUGGUUGUCUAUCAAAGGAUAAUAAAACUAUGAUGUGCCAAUCACAUUAUUAUUUUUAUUAAACACAAAUUGGUAUCUUACAAUUUAAUUUUACUAACUAUGAAAUGCAUCAUCCAAUAGAUGAGUGUCACAUAAUAUUAGAUUCAAGUUGAGACUCAAAUAACGUUAUAUUCAAGUUGAGACUCAAACAGUGAGAUCCCCAACAUUAUUUUUUAUUUUGUUAUUAUUAUUUUUUUACUAAUGUAUCAUAAUCUCACUCACUUACAAGGCCUAUGUUUUCCUAUUUAUAAAAUGAGUGAUGAUACAACCACAAAUUCUUGCACAAACUUAUUUUGUACAAACUGAUGUGUCAUUAAUUCACUGAUUGAAUAAAAAUAUAAAAUAAUAGAAAUAAAUUAUGUGGGCCAAGAAAUAUUUAAUUCAACAAAUUUUAUCAUGCCACAUUCACUUUGUAUAAAAUAAAUUUGUACAAUAGUUUGUGGUUAUAUCAUUACUCUUAUAAAAUUCAUACCUUGUAACCUUUAAAUCUCCAGAAUUCAAAUCUAACAGAUAGCUCAGCAUUGAGAUACUGCAAAAGAUAAGUCAAUUCACACAUCCUAGUCUUAUGUUUUAUUUAAUAUUACAUGAUAAAUCUAGUUACUUGUAGUUUCAACAUUACAUGAUAAACCGAGCUACUUGUAUUUACAAAUUAAAAAUCAAUUAAAAUCUCCUAAGUUAAUUCUUUAAUUUUGCAAAUUUAGAUAUCAAUGGACUCAACUCUCUUUUCAUAUGUAUGAAUAAGUAAAUAGUUUAAUAUUUUAACAUUAUAUAUAAUUCCUGAUUUAAAAUUUAUAUCCUUUUAAAUAUGACAUUGAUUACUAAUGACCAUAUGUGAGGUUGUCAUUGUUGUGCGUGUGUAUGUACAUAUAUAAUUUUUCUUUAAUAAAGACAUCCUUACUUUGUUAAAGAGAGUGCACAUUAAAAUAGAAAAAUACAGAUUUCAAUAUAUUGGAGACUUUUUUUUUUUCUUGUCUGUUAGUAUAUUAAAAUAUGUAUUUUUUUAUCUGUUAGUAGCAUCUUCACUUAAAGUAAGAUUGUCCUUGCUAAGUAAUUAUUUUAUAUAUAUCCUAAAUUUAUUAAAGUUCAAAAACGUUAUUAAGCCAUAAGCUAUUAAAAUAUAUAGUUUAAUAUUUUUUCUCGAAUUGUAAUAAAUUCUAAGAUCCUAAAUCAUAUCAAUACUCUCUCUUUCGUACAUAAAUGAUGCUCAAAUUUUAUUUAAACAAUUACUUGACGAAGCAAUAUAUGGGUGGACCUAAACGUCCUCGAGAAUAUUCUUUUUUAAUUAAAACAAAAGGAUCAUCCCACGCAUCAAAGAAAAUAAAAAAUAAAACAAAUAACACUUUGUGAUUUUGAUUUAUACCUUCGAGUUUGUUAUAGGGAAGACGUAACUCUUUAAGCUUGGUCAAAUUGCCGAUUUCUUUUGGUAUGGUACCCGAAAACCAAUUAUGACUGAGAACGAGUGUUUGCAGCGAAGAAAGGUUUCCAAGAUAGGAAGGGAUGGUGCCUGUAAGGCCAAGAUCAGGAAUGGUCAAGGAUGUGACUCUAUUGCCAUAGACAUCACAAGUGAUGCCCAUCCAGCUACAAACGGAAGUAUUUGAGGUCCAAUUUUGAGCCAAAAUAUUGCGGGGAUUAUCAUUGAUUAUAUGAGCUUUUACGGAAAGAAGAGCAUCUUGGUCUCUGGAUAUGUUUGCUGCAGCUG